RNAcentral lists this unclassified non-coding RNA (294 nucleotides) under Phylloporus sp. RNAcentral describes it as "partial contains small subunit ribosomal RNA, internal transcribed spacer 1, and 5.8S ribosomal RNA". The stretch from base 1 to 46 matches the Rfam family "Eukaryotic small subunit ribosomal RNA", at positions 1786 to 1831 of the family's 1831-position model. Lineage: Eukaryota; Fungi; Basidiomycota; Agaricomycetes; Boletales; Boletaceae. The record is from RNAcentral.
AAGUCGUAACAAGGUUUCCGUAGGUGAACCUGCGGAAGGAUCAUUAACAAAUCAAUACACACCGUGCCGGUACUUGCUAGCAAGUAUCGGUAGGUAGGAGAGCAGUGUGGAUCGCAAGAUCUCAUUCUCUUCUUCAACUGGGUUUGCUGGCAGAUCCGCAAGGACCUGCCAGCAAAAACAGUUGCGCAGUUUGAAAUUUGCGCCAACGUGCGAAUUUCAGCUGCACACACGAUAGUCGUUGACAAACAAAUCGACAACAAAAAACAACUUUUAACAAUGGAUCUCUUGGCUCUU